Molecule: ribosomal RNA, 420 nt
Filed under: bacterium
Lineage: Bacteria
Description: partial 16S ribosomal RNA
Rfam family: Bacterial small subunit ribosomal RNA
Source: RNAcentral
UGGGGGAUAUUGCACAAUGGGCGAAAGCCUGAUGCAGCGACGCCGCGUGGGGGAUGAAGGCUUUCGGGUUGUAAACCUCUUUCGCUAUCGAACAAGGCCCGCUUAGGGUGGGUUGAGGGUAGGUGGAGAAGAAGCGCCGGCUAACUACGUGCCAGCAGCCGCGGUAAUACGUAGGGCGCGAGCGUUGUCCGGAAUUAUUGGGCGUAAAGGGCUUGUAGGCGGCUUGUUGCGCCUGCUGUGAAAACGCGGGGCUUAACUUCGCGCGUGCAGUGGGUACGGGCAGGCUUGAGUGUGGUAGGGGUGACUGGAAUUCCAGGUGUAGCGGUGGAAUGCGCAGAUAUCUGGGGGAACACCGAUGGCGAAGGCAGGUCACUGGGCCAUUACUGACGCUGAGGAGCGAAAGCAUGGGUGGCGAACAGG